GAGUUUGAUCUUGGCUCAGAUUGAACGCUGGCGGCAUGCCUUACACAUGCAAGUCGAACGGCAGCACGGGAGCUUGCUCCUGGUGGCGAGUGGCGAACGGGUGAGUAAUAUAUCGGAACGUACCCUAGAGUGGGGGAUAACGCAGCGAAAGUUGCGCUAAUACCGCAUACGAUCUACGGAUGAAAGUGGGGGAUCGCAAGACCUCAUGCUCAUGGAGCGCCGAUAUCUGAUUAGCUAGUUGGUGGGGUAAAGGCCUACCAAGGCAUCGAGUCAGUAGCUGGUCUGAGAGGACGACCAGCCACACUGGAACUGAGACACGGUCCAGACUCCUACGGGAGGCAGCAGUGGGGAAUUUUGGACAAUGGGGGCAACCCUGAUCCAGCAAUGCCGCGUGAGUG
RNAcentral lists this ribosomal RNA (398 nucleotides) under uncultured microorganism. RNAcentral describes it as "bacterial SSU rRNA". It matches the Rfam family "Bacterial small subunit ribosomal RNA", at positions 9 to 407 of the family's 1533-position model. The record is from RNAcentral.